AUGCAUGUUUAAGUACAGCUCGGUGGGGCAACCUACCGGGCGAAACCGCAGACGGCUCAUUAAAUCAGUUGUGGUCUAAAUGGGCGAGAGAUUUCCUUACUUGGAUAACUGUGGAAAAUCCAGAGCUAAUACAUGCAAGAUCAAGUCCUCGGCCAAAGCUCCGCGCAAGCAGAGCGACUAACUGGGGAUGCUUUUAUUAGACCGAGGCGCGCGCAUACGCGGUCGCUCACGCGGCCGUUCGUGUGUCGCACGUAAGCGCUAUAUGGUGACUCUGAAUAACACAGAUAAGCGUGCUUUAAGUAGCACGCUGCCUACUUACGAGUGACUGACCUAUCAGCUAUAACGUAUGUUAUACGCGAACGUUGGCUAUAACGGGUAACGGGGAAUCAGAGUUCGAUUCCGGAGAGGCAGCCUGAGAAACGGCUACCACG
This 431-nucleotide ribosomal RNA is filed under the name Iulopis loveni. RNAcentral's name for it is "SSU rRNA". It matches the Rfam family "Eukaryotic small subunit ribosomal RNA", at positions 51 to 414 of the family's 1831-position model. Lineage: Eukaryota; Metazoa; Arthropoda; Malacostraca; Amphipoda; Iulopididae. The record is from RNAcentral.